This 439-nucleotide ribosomal RNA is filed under the name actinobacterium SCGC AAA044-J06. Its description in RNAcentral is "bacterial SSU rRNA". It matches the Rfam family "Bacterial small subunit ribosomal RNA", at positions 335 to 787 of the family's 1533-position model. The record is from RNAcentral. Lineage: Bacteria; Bacillati; Actinomycetota; Actinomycetes.
GUCCUAUGGGAUGCAGCAGUGGGGAAUAUUGGGCAAUGGAGGGAACUCUGACCCAGCGACGCCGCGUGCGGGAUGAAGGCCUUCGGGUUGUAAACCGCUUUCAGCAAGGAAGAAGCGAAAGUGACGGUACUUGCAGAAGAAGCACCGGCUAACUAUGUGCCAGCAGCCGCGGUAAUACAUAGGGUGCAAGCGUUGUCCGGAAUUAUUGGGCGUAAAGAGCUCGUAGGUGGUUCGUCACGUCGGAUGUGAAAAUCUGGGGCUUAACCCCAGACCUGCAUUCGAUACGGGCGAGCUAGAGUGUGGUAGGGGAGACUGGAAUUCCUGGUGUAGCGGUGGAAUGCGCAGAUAUCAGGAGGAACACCAAUGGCGAAGGCAGGUCUCUGGGCCAUUACUGACACUGAGGAGCGAAAGCGUGGGGAGCGAACAGGAUUAGAUACCC